UACGAAGGGUGCAAACGUUGCUCGGAAUUAUUGGGCGUAAAGCGCACGUAGGCGGCAUUGCAAGUCGGAUGUGAAAUCUUAUGGCUUAACCAUAAAAGUGCAUCCGAAACUGCAGUGCUUGAGUACUUAAGAGGAUCGCGGAAUUCCCGGUGUAGAGGUGAAAUUCGUAGAUAUCGGGAGGAACACCAGCGGCGAAGGCG
RNAcentral lists this ribosomal RNA (200 nucleotides) under uncultured bacterium. RNAcentral's name for it is "partial 16S ribosomal RNA". It matches the Rfam family "Bacterial small subunit ribosomal RNA", at positions 524 to 723 of the family's 1533-position model. The record is from RNAcentral.